AUGCCUCCGCACCGGCCAGUUGAAUUUGUUAUUGAUCUUGAGCCUGGCAUGGAACCUGUGUGCAAACGUCCUUACAAGCUCGGACCUGAAGAGUUGAAGGAGCUGAAGAAGCAACUCAAUAUUCAAGAGAAAAUGGGUCUUAUCCGGCCAAGUUCUUCUCCGUGGGGUUGUGGUGUUCUUUUUGUGAAGAAGAAGGAUGGAACGGACCGACUUUGUGUUGAUUACCGUCCAGUGAACAAGAAGACCAUAAAUAACAAAUAUCCACUUCCCAACAUCAAAGAGCUGUUCAAACAACUCAAAGGUGCCCAAGUAUUCUCAAAGCUUGAUCUCCGUAUGGGCUAUCAUCAGAUUCGUAUUCGUGAGCAAGAUAUUCCCAGGACGGCUUUCAAGACAAGUUUUGGUUCUUAUGAAUACACUGUCAUGUCUUUUGGCCUCGUCAACGCUCCUCCGACGUUCUCUCGCAUGAUGAACUUCAUCUUCAACGCCUACACCAAUGACUUCGUUUUGGUCUAUCUCGACGACAUUCUGGUUUUCUCGAAGAACAAGGAAGAUCAUACCAAGCACUUGCGUUUGGUACUCGAUAAGCUCAGGGAACAUCAGUUCUACGCCAAGUUCUCCAAGUGUGAAUUUUGGCUUGAUGAGGUUCUUUACCUUGGUCAUAUCAUCUCUGCCAAGGGUAUUGCCGUGAAUCCUGAGAAGGUGUCUGCAAUUGUGAAUUGGGAACCUUCUCAGAACGUGAAGCAACUCCGUAGCUUCCUCGGUCUCGCAAGCUAUUGUCGAAGAUUCGUUGAAAACUUUUCUAAGAUCGCGAAGCCUCUCUCUAAUCUUCUUCAGAAGCACGUCAAGUACAUUUGGUCUCCGGAGUGUGACAUUGCUUUCAACACUUUGAAAAGAAAUUGA
RNAcentral lists this ribosomal RNA (900 nucleotides) under Triticum aestivum (bread wheat). RNAcentral's name for it is "partial small subunit ribosomal RNA". The record is from RNAcentral. Lineage: Eukaryota; Viridiplantae; Streptophyta; Magnoliopsida; Poales; Poaceae.